RNAcentral lists this ribosomal RNA (468 nucleotides) under uncultured bacterium. RNAcentral describes it as "partial 16S ribosomal RNA". It matches the Rfam family "Bacterial small subunit ribosomal RNA", at positions 28 to 507 of the family's 1533-position model. The record is from RNAcentral.
GACGAACGCUGGCGGCGUGCUUAACACAUGCAAGUCGAACGGAAAGGCCCUGCUUUUGUGGGGUGCUCGAUUGGCGAACGGGUGAGUAACACGUGAGUAACCUGCCCUUGACUUUGGGAUAACUUCAGGAAACUGGGGCUAAUACCGGAUAGGAGCUCCUGCUGCAUGGUGGUGGAUGGAAAGUUUCGGCGGUUGGGGAUGGACUCGCGGCUUAUCAGCUUUUUGGUGGGGUAGUGGCUUACCAAGGCUUUGACGGGUAGCCGGCCUGAGAGGCUGACCGGCCACCAUGGGACUGAGAUACGGACCAGAAUCGUACGGGAGGCAGCAGUGGGGAAUAUUGCACAACGGGCGCAAGCCUGAUGCAGCAACGCCGCGUGCGUGAUGCCCGCCUUCGGGGUGUAAACCGCUUUCGAAUGAGACGAAGAGUGAGUGACGGUAAUGGGUAAAAAAGCAACGGCUAACUACGUG